UCCCUCCUCCCAAGUUAAACAUGAGGGCAUAAUUUUCUAUUCAAUCAUAUUUGGCAAAAUGUAGCAAACAUUAGGGUUGUCACAUUUGGAUAUGUAAAGCAUUGCAUUAUAUGAAUAGUUUACCUGCUGUAGGUCAAGUCAUGCUAGUGAAAGUCACUAAGGAACACAUGGGCACCAAAAAUACAUUGUGUCUAAGGCAUUCUUCUACUAAAUUCACCUUGACAGAUCUCCUUACAUUACAAUUCAUGGUUGGUACACAGAAAGCAAAAUACCAAAGCUUCGGGGAGUACAUUCGGUUUGACAAUUUGCCUUAGAAAGUGACUUGAAUGUACAAAGAUACUUAAUGCACUUAUUUUUAAAUGUAAGUUGGCAAAUGUACAAUUGACAGCAGUAUGCAAGUGUGUAACUGCAGAGGUGUCUGCAUGCUUGUGUUGGGAUUCAAGAGCUAAGCUGAUGGGAUACAACAGAAUGGAGAUCAUUUGACCAAAGCUGCAUUGAUGUGCAAUGAGUGGCUGUUGACCACUUUGCCAGGCAAGUUGAAAGUCGAGUUGCAUUUUUAUUUUUAUGGUUACCGAUUGCCCGCCUUUGUCAUAUGCUAGUUCGAUUUUUUAUUUUAUUUAUUUAACAAUUAUUAACAACUGUACAGAUCCCAUUUUUAUUGUAUGUAACGUACAAUGCAAUUGAGUUUGGCAGUUUUUUUUAAAGAAAAGGUUGUUAUUUCUUGCAAUUGUAUAAUGAUUAGCGAAUGUUCCUUGUUUGAGGAGUUGGGAUGGGCAAGAUUAAGUCUUAAUGUUUUCAGAAUUU
Molecule: long non-coding RNA, 804 nt
Organism: Nanorana parkeri
Lineage: Eukaryota; Metazoa; Chordata; Amphibia; Anura; Dicroglossidae
Exons: 3
Source: RefSeq, a predicted model, not a curated record